Molecule: ribosomal RNA, 309 nt
Filed under: uncultured eukaryote
Lineage: Eukaryota
Description: partial 18S ribosomal RNA
Rfam family: Eukaryotic small subunit ribosomal RNA
Source: RNAcentral
CCCUUAGAUGUUCUGGGCAGCACGCGCGCUACAAUGGUCUUCGCAAACGGAUGCAUUCUCGAAGGAGAAUGCCAAUCUUGGAAUCUAUGCCUUGGUCGGGACAGUUGCUUGCAAUUUUUCGACUCGAACCAGGAAUUCCUUGUAAUCGUGAUUCAUCACAUCACGAUGAAUACGUCCCUGCCCUUUGUACACACCGCCCGUCGCUUCUACCGAUUGAGUGAUCCGGUGAACUCUUAGGACUGCGCGCCCUCGUGGCGUCGCAGGAAUUUGCGUAAAUCAUAUCACUUAGAGGAAGAAGAAGUCGUAACA